Molecule: ribosomal RNA, 466 nt
Filed under: uncultured bacterium
Lineage: Bacteria
Description: partial 16S ribosomal RNA
Rfam family: Bacterial small subunit ribosomal RNA
Source: RNAcentral
CUACGGGCCGCUGCAGUGGGGAAUAUUGGACAAUGGGGGAAACCCUGAUCCAGCAAUGCCGCGUGUGUGAAGAAGGCCUGCGGGUUGUAAAGCACUUUCGGUUGGGAGGACUGCUUCUAGCACUAAUAUUGUUGGAAGUUGACGUUACCUUCAGAAGAAGCACCGGCUAACUCCGUGCCAGCAGCCGCGGUAAUACGGGAGGGUGCAAGCGGUAAUCGGAAUUACUGGGCGUAAAGCGCGCGUAGGCGGCUAGAUCAGUCGGGUGUGAAAGCCCCGGGCUUAACCUGGGAACUGCAUCCGAUACUGUCUAGCUUGAGUACAGGAGAGGAGAGUGGAAUUCCACAUGUAGCGGUGAAAUGCGUAGAUAUGUGGAGGAACACCAAUGGCGAAGGCAGCUCUCUGGCCUGAUACUGACGCUGAGGUGCGAAAGCGUGGGGAGCAAACAGGAUUAGAUACCCUUGUAGUC